UUGCUGUAGUUUCUGGAGAUUUGGCUCUGCUCACGCUGAGCACCCAGGCUGCCGGGGAAGGUCAGGGCUUCAGACGUGUCUGAGAGAACUUGCCGCGUGUCAUUAUGACUCCCAAAAAGUAAACGCGGAGAGGGCACGCAGCUUCUUAUAAAGUACAGCACCUGUCUCCCGAGGUCUCUGUUGAACUCUAAACAUUGCUUUGGAAAGCACACAAACUCUCAAUCCAGCUGCCAAUUCAGAGGGCCCCGGGAGACACACUGCGUGUGUGGGUGUGGAGGGAAAGGAGCUCUCGCUAGUGGGAAGUAAACACUUAAUGAACUAAUUAUAUGUAGAAUGGGCAAAGUGUCUGACUCCCUGACACACAAUAUAAACGUACUUACAUGUGAAGGAAAUAUGUGAUUUGUAUCAUUUCAUUGUUACUGUCAAGAGCUUAAUGGGGUUCAAAAAAAGAUUAGCUAUUAUGAAUAGUGGGAACAUUCACUUAACACUAAAUAGGCCAAAAAUUAAGAACGGAUCUCAGCCUUAUGCGUCAACUUAUUAGUCAGCCCUCCGUUGGCGAUGGGUAGGGAAGGGAAAGCAAGCCUUCCACCGGGGUCAGCUUGUUCCCUUGACCUACAAAGACUCACCUGAUGGCUCUCUCCUGUUUCGGCAGCUGUCAGAAGUGGGCAGCUGGCAGCUGUCAGAAGUGGGCAGUUCUCCAGCAUGGUCAUUCACAUGUUCCAGCUCCUUGGUCUUCCACAUCUUGAAAGUCAUCUCCUAAGGAAGAGGCACUUUUCUGUCCAGUGUUUGCUACCAGACUGAUCUUGGCUAGCAUCCCUAAAAGCUGUGGGUUGUGAGAGGCCAGGCCAACAAAGAAGUUUAAUAAGUAGAUUUCAGGACAUGUGUGUAAACUUUGGUGGGACACCAGCCCGGGACACGUGUGCCAAAGAAGCUCUUCACAACCACAGAUGGAGCUUUCCAUGUCUUACGGAGGAGGCUGGGAAGCUAAACUGUAUAUCUGUAAAAAAGAAGGAGAUCUUUAGCUCAUGCCACCAAAGUGCAAAGCAUUGCAUUAUUUUAUUGUCUACCUCUCCUCCCACACUGCAUUUAUGGUAAGAUGUAUGUGUUGUUAUUUCAACGCCAGUUUGAUAAAUGGGUGUCAUAGCUUUGACUAUUCAGUCAUGAUGGCUGUGUAACCUCCCGUAACUUAUUCUGUUGCCUACCACUUUUUUUUUUUUUCCUGGUUCUGUAGAAGACAUUGUGAACUGUGAAAUCUUUGUACAAAAAUUGCUUUAUGCCCAAUUACUAGGAGUGCACUAUAAAUUAAAAAUUUG
RNAcentral lists this long non-coding RNA (1313 nucleotides) under Anser brachyrhynchus (Pink-footed goose). RNAcentral describes it as "lncRNA (ENSABRG00000012512.1)". Lineage: Eukaryota; Metazoa; Chordata; Aves; Anseriformes; Anatidae. The record is from RNAcentral.